Molecule: small nuclear RNA, 23 nt
Filed under: Arabidopsis thaliana (thale cress)
Lineage: Eukaryota; Viridiplantae; Streptophyta; Magnoliopsida; Brassicales; Brassicaceae
Description: snRNA_03801
Source: RNAcentral
CAACUCUCUCUGUAUGAGUGACA